UACGGGGGGGGCAAGCGUUGUUCGGAAUUACUGGGCGUAAAGGGCUAGUAGGCGGCCGACUAAGUCGGAUGUGAAAUCCCCAGGCUCAACUUGGGAACUGCAUCCGAUACUGGUGGGCUUGAAUCCGGGAGAGGGAUGCAGAAUUCCAGGUGUAGCGGUGAAAUGCGUAGAUAUCUGGAGGAAUACCGGUGGCGAAGGCGGCAUCCUGGACCGGCAUUGACGCUGAUCAGCGAAAGCCAGGGGAGCAAACGGG
RNAcentral lists this ribosomal RNA (253 nucleotides) under uncultured prokaryote. RNAcentral describes it as "partial 16S ribosomal RNA". It matches the Rfam family "Bacterial small subunit ribosomal RNA", at positions 524 to 776 of the family's 1533-position model. The record is from RNAcentral.